Molecule: ribosomal RNA, 1700 nt
Filed under: Salmonella enterica
Lineage: Bacteria; Pseudomonadati; Pseudomonadota; Gammaproteobacteria; Enterobacterales; Enterobacteriaceae
Also listed under: 1 other name
Description: partial 23S ribosomal RNA
Rfam family: Bacterial large subunit ribosomal RNA
Source: RNAcentral
UCAUUUAAAGAAAGCGUAAUAGCUCACUGGUCGAGUCGGCCUGCGCGGAAGAUGUAACGGGGCUAAACCAUGCACCGAAGCUGCGGCAGCGACACUGUGUGUUGUUGGGUAGGGGAGCGUUCUGUAAGCCUGUGAAGGUGUGUCGUGAGGCAUGCUGGAGGUAUCAGAAGUGCGAAUGCUGACAUAAGUAACGAUAAAGCGGGUGAAAAGCCCGCUCGCCGGAAGACCAAGGGUUCCUGUCCAACGUUAAUCGGGGCAGGGUGAGUCGACCCCUAAGGCGAGGCCGAAAGGCGUAGUCGAUGGGAAACGGGUUAAUAUUCCCGUACUUGGUGUUACUGCGAAGGGGGGACGGAGAAGGCUAUGUUGGCCGGGCGACGGUUGUCCCGGUUUAAGCGUGUAGGUGUGUGUUCCAGGUAAAUCCGGUUCACUUUAACACUGAGGCGUGACGACGAGGCACUACGGUGCUGAAGCAACAAAUGCCCUGCUUCCAGGAAAAGCCUCUAAGCAUCAGGUAACAUCAAAUCGUACCCCAAACCGACACAGGUGGUCAGGUAGAGAAUACCAAGGCGCUUGAGAGAACUCGGGUGAAGGAACUAGGCAAAAUGGUGCCGUAACUUCGGGAGAAGGCACGCUGACACGUAGGUGAAGUGAUUUACUCAUGGAGCUGAAGUCAGUCGAAGAUACCAGCUGGCUGCAACUGUUUAUUAAAAACACAGCACUGUGCAAACACGAAAGUGGACGUAUACGGUGUGACGCCUGCCCGGUGCCGGAAGGUUAAUUGAUGGGGUCAGCGCAAGCGAAGCUCCUGAUCGAAGCCCCGGUAAACGGCGGCCGUAACUAUAACGGUCCUAAGGUAGCGAAAUUCCUUGUCGGGUAAGUUCCGACCUGCACGAAUGGCGUAAUGAUGGCCAGGCUGUCUCCACCCGAGACUCAGUGAAAUUGAACUCGCUGUGAAGAUGCAGUGUACCCGCGGCAAGACGGAAAGACCCCGUGAACCUUUACUAUAGCUUGACACUGAACAUUGAGCCUUGAUGUGUAGGAUAGGUGGGAGGCUUUGAAGUGUGGACGCCAGUCUGCAUGGAGCCGACCUUGAAAUACCACCCUUUAAUGUUUGAUGUUCUAACGUGGACCCGUUACCCGGGUUGCGGACAGUGUCUGGUGGGUAGUUUGACUGGGGCGGUCUCCUCCUAAAGAGUAACGGAGGAGCACGAAGGUUGGCUAAUCCUGGUCGGACAUCAGGAGGUUAGUGCAAUGGCAUAAGCCAGCUUGACUGCGAGCGUGACGGCGCGAGCAGGUGCGAAAGCAGGUCAUAGUGAUCCGGUGGUUCUGAAUGGAAGGGCCAUCGCUCAACGGAUAAAAGGUACUCCGGGGAUAACAGGCUGAUACCGCCCAAGAGUUCAUAUCGACGGCGGUGUUUGGCACCUCGAUGUCGGCUCAUCACAUCCUGGGGCUGAAGUAGGUCCCAAGGGUAUGGCUGUUCGCCAUUUAAAGUGGUACGCGAGCUGGGUUUAGAACGUCGUGAGACAGUUCGGUCCCUAUCUGCCGUGGGCGCUGGAGAACUGAGGGGGGCUGCUCCUAGUACGAGAGGACCGGAGUGGACGCAUCACUGGUGUUCGGGUUGUCAUGCCAAUGGCACUGCCCGGUAGCUAAAUGCGGAAGAGAUAAGUGCUGAAAGCAUCUAAGCACGAAACUUGCCCCGA